AUUGAACGCUGGCGGCAGGCCUAACACAUGAAAGUCGAGCGAGCGGCGGACGGGUGAGUAAUGUAUGGGGAUCUGCCCUAUUGAGGGGCAUCACUACUGGAAACUGUGGCUAAUCCCGCAUUCUAUCGGCUUAACCCCUAUGGGAUUAGCUAGUAGGUGGGGUAAAGGCUCACCUAGGCGACGAUCUCUAGCUGGUCUGACAGGAUGAUCACCCACACUGGGACUGAGACACGGCCCAGACUCCUACGGGAGGCAGCAGUGGGGAAGAUUGCACAAUGGGCGCAAGCCUGAUGCAGCCAUGCCGCGUGUAUGAAGCAGGCCUUAGGGUUGUAAAGUACUUUCAGCGGGGAGGCGUUACCCUCAGAAGAAGAACCGGCUAACUCCGUGCCAGCAGCCGCGGUAAUUC
RNAcentral lists this ribosomal RNA (406 nucleotides) under uncultured bacterium. RNAcentral describes it as "partial 16S ribosomal RNA". It matches the Rfam family "Bacterial small subunit ribosomal RNA", at positions 30 to 526 of the family's 1533-position model. The record is from RNAcentral.